Molecule: ribosomal RNA, 422 nt
Filed under: uncultured bacterium
Lineage: Bacteria
Description: bacterial SSU rRNA
Rfam family: Bacterial small subunit ribosomal RNA
Source: RNAcentral
UAAGGAAUAUUGGACAAUGGAGGCAACUCUGAUCCAGCCAUGCCGCGUGAAGGAAUAAGGCCCUAUGGGUUGUAAACUUCUUUUAGACGGGACAAAACCCCUUUACGUGUAAAGGGUUGAUGGUACUGUCAGAAUAAGCAUCGGCUAACUUCGUGCCAGCAGCCGCGGUAAUACGAAGGAUGCAAGCGUUAUCCGGAAUUAUUGGGUUUAAAGGGUGCGUAGGCGGACUAAUAAGUCAGUGGUGAAAGCCUGCAGCUUAACUGCAGAAUUGCCAGUAAUACUGUUAGUCUUGAGUACAGUUGAGGUAGGCGGAAUGUGUCAUGUUGCGGUCAAAUGCUUAGAUAUGACACAGAACACCGAUUGCGAAGGCAGCUUGCUAAGCUGUAACUGACGCUGAGGCACGAAAGCGUGGGGAGCAAACA